This 62-nucleotide transfer RNA is filed under the name Staphylinoidea sp. 5 KM-2017. RNAcentral's name for it is "tRNA-Pro". Lineage: Eukaryota; Metazoa; Arthropoda; Insecta; Coleoptera. The record is from RNAcentral.
CAGGGGGUAGUUUAUAAAAAAUUUUAAUUUUGGAGAUUAAGGAAGGGUUUUCUCUCCCCUGA